GAAUGUUAGUCGCAGGGCUGCCAUCAUCCCCACAGCUUGCUGGGAUCGCAGGGACGGGGACGUGUGGACCACUUGCGCAGCUCCACAUUUCAAAUGGAAAUUCCCUGAGCAGUAGAACCUGAAACUAGUGUGCAGGAAGCUGGCCCGGCGGCAGCUUUGUUGUUUAGGGGUUCUGGACAGCGUCAGCCCUGUAAAUUCACACAUCUUAGGUGGCAGCACAAGACGCCCCCUGCCCAAGCGGGGGCUUGGAGCUGGCAAGCAAUAGCUCCUUAUCUCUGGCCCCUAUUCCCAUAAAAUUAUCUCCCUUGAAAGCCUGGCUAAAAGGUUAUCUAGAGGGGUCAGCGACUUUGUGCUUGUGGGAAGGGUUUUCUCAAGGUUUAGGAUUCCUCUGGCUUUUCAGCCAGUGGCUCGGAAUACAGCAAAUCAAAAGUCAGUUAGAGAGCCACCUGAGGUAGCCAGAAAGAAGGUCAGGUAGCAGCUUGCAUUGGGACGUAUGGUGGGACCCCUAAAAAAGCACCAUAUAAUUCCAUCUGAUCCUUAUUUAUCGCAUCCCUAAGGCACCUCAGUGAAUGACGCUAUCCUUAAGGAAUUGUUCCGUGAAGUUCACGUCUUUGGAGCAGGCGGUUGAGCUUACCACAAAAUUGGAAGAGGUGCCUUGUUGGCAAUAUGCUAUAUUGAAUCGGCUGUUAGGCUGCUGCUGGUUCACCCGCGAGAUUUUAAGUGGUUGGGCUUUAAUUUGGAUGGUGCUCCUUAUAUUGAUAAGGCGAUGCCGAUGGGUUGCGCAAUAGACUGUGCAGCUCUCGAGUCCUUUAGCGCCUUUCUGGAUUGAACAGUGUGAGUCUAUACUCAUUUAACUGGGGGUACCAUUUUUUGGAUUAUUUUACUGGCUGGUUCUUGUGACACCAGCCUCUGUGUAGGCUUGCUAGACAUCCUUUAUUCCCUCUGAGGAGCUGGGUGUUUCAUAGGCAGUGGAUGGGUCCCCCUCUUAAUAUUUGGGGGUUAGCUGGAUACCGUUGCUCAAACAUCUGCUUGCCUGUGGGGAAGCUGUUUGCCUUCAAGGAAGUUAUCUUGUUAUACUUCUUCUGAAGCAAGUGUUGCUUUGUCAAAUCCUAUCAUUUGCUAGGUCAGUUAAAUUAAUUUUGCAUGCAGAUUGGUUGCCCCAGGCCGCCCCUUCCAUUCCUGCUUGGCCAGGCUGCCUGUGGCCCGAGGUCCCCUUACCUUCGUGUACGCUUACCAAGUGAGGUCAAGGCGGAUCUCAUGCGGUGGUUGCAGUUCCUAAAUGGAUGCAAUAGUAGUUCACCAUGGCAGGAUACCUUGAACCUGCACAGCGAUUUUCAGGUUCAUGCUGAUGCUGCUGGAUCUUUGGCCUUUGGUUUUUAUUUCAGGGGCUGUUGGUGUGCAAAGCCAUGGCCUCAAGCCUGGUGUGGUGAGGCUAUCAUGUGACCUAACUUUGCUUGAGUUUUCCCCAUUGUAGUAGCAGUUCACAUCUGGACCGAGGAGUUCAGUGACCGUCGGAUCUGCUUUUGGUCUGAUAACCAGGCAGUGGUGAGCAUCUUGGCAGAACAGUCCACAUGCUCCAGCAGAGUCUCCGCCCCUCCGCUCACGCUUUUGAGCUGCACUGCUUAAGGUUUAAUAUUGUGCUUGCUGCUCACCUGCUAACAGGAUCCUCUAAUGAUAUUGGUGACACUCUAUCUCAUUUUCAGAUGGAGUGCUUCAGAUCCUGGGCUCCAGACUCUCAGCUAUUGCCGGACUUUUCUGGACCACCUGUUGCACUUUGACAACAAUUAGUAAUUACAGGGAGUAGCAGAUUCCAUUCCCCUUCUGCUUUUAGCUCUUAUGAGGAGGCCUGGACUGAUUUCUUAGGGUUUAGUUGACAGCCCUUGGCCAUUCAGAGGAACUUGCCCCCAUCCGCUGAGCAGAUCCUGCAGGAUUUGGCACACUUGCUGCAGAUUGGAUGUGCUGUAAACACUAUCAGAAUUCAGUCCGCUGCAAUGUCUGCUAUAGUGAAGCUUAAUUUUUCAGAGACCCUUGAAAAAAGUUUGUCGUGCACAGGGCCUUGAACGGUUGGAAUAGGCUCCAACUUCAUAGGUUGGCGCACCUCUUCCAAUUGGGCCGAGUGGCCAGGACGCUCAGGAUCCAACCGGCGGCCAUUUCCUUUUUCUGCAAAGCCUUUUUUAAUAAAGACCCUUGCGCCAAAUUUGUGGUGCGCAAGGCUGUGGAAGGCUGGGGUAGCCUGGGCACUCUAUCCCCUGUGGUAAGGAAGCCUAUAACUUUUGAUUUGCUGACCAGCAUGCGCUCAAAGUUGAGGAGCAUUUGCUGGUUCAAAUAUGAAGCACGGCGUUUUUCAGCCGCCUUUUCCUUAUCCUUUUUUGGCGCCCCGAGGGUAGGUGAGGUGGUAUUGGAGUUCACCCGCGGCAGAGAGUCAAGGGGACUGCUUUUGCAGGACGUAACUCUAUCCCCUUUGGAGGUGGUCCUGUUUAUCCGGAAUUUGAAGACAGACCAGUUAGGCAGGGGUGCCACUCUUAGGGUGCCUGCCACUGGAAAUAAGGGUCCUUGCCCGGUUAAGGAUACCUCCAGGUAUUUGGAUCUCAGGCCACGGGGGGAGGGUCCAUUCCUUAUUCAUGAGGAUGGUGCCCCGUUGACUACGCAUCAAUUUGCUAAGGUGAUGUGGUAAGCGAUUGCAGCUUGUGGUUUGAAAGCAGCAGGUUAUGCUCCUCAUUCUUCCGCAGUGGUGCUGCCACUACAGCAGCUCACUGGGGACUGUCUGUAGAAAGAAUUAAGAACAUGGGCCGUUGGAAGUCCAAUGCAUUUUGUGGAUAUGUGCAUAGACAUUGUUGUUCACCCAUACUUAUAUUUGCUUGUCUUCUCUUAGGUGUGGCUGCUGUUCGCAUUGUGGGCCACAGCAUUGUCUACUGGGUAUCAGAGCAAGGGAGUCUGGACUUGGACUCAGUCUUGGCCUUUCCUCAACACGCACAAGUGUCUUGGCUGUCCAGGCAUAGAAUGCUGUGGGCCGAAUUGCUUCCCCUUGUUCGGAAGCAUGUGAGGUUGGAGAGGCCCCCUACAGCUAUCGUGCUGCAGUUAGGGGGAAAUGAUCUGCUUGCCACAGACUGUUGUUCUUUACGUUUUACAGUUCAAAAGGACCUGGCUGAAUUGGCAGAGUUUUUGCUGGGUGUGAAAGUUUUUUGGUCCCAGUUGCUGCACCUGGCGUGGCAGUCGCUGUCCAGCCGCCACUGAUGGAGCCAGAAAGCGUGUUAAUAAGGUGGCAAUGAAAGCAGUCAUUGCUCAUGGUGGUUCUGUGAUUGAGCACCCCAAUAUCACCUUCAAGGCGGCCGUCCUUUUCAGGGACGAUGGUGUGCAUCUUUCCCCGUUGGGAAAUGACACAUUGUUAAAUUCUGUUGUGUGGGUUUGAAGGUGGGGCUGCAGUUGUGAGUGGUUGGCGACGAGCUUGAGUGCUCGGUGGCAGUUAGGCAUUGGUUUAUGGUUUGGUUGGUUGAGGGGAAGUGGUUGAGUGCCUGCCCUUGGUAGGUUGAGUGCCUGCCCCUCUAAUGCUGCUGCUGCAAGGGAUUCCGUUAAAGGAAUUGGGGGCUAACUAUUGCUUGUCCACUCUGUCAAGGGGGCUCGGGCCAUAGCAAUGAGCUCCUGGUUGCAUUUGGGGUGAGGGCAGGUUCCCUGCUCCGCGUAACCCCCAAGUGUAUUCCCCUAUUCUGACUUUCGCAUUGUGCGGAAUGUCAGUCUGUCCCC
RNAcentral lists this long non-coding RNA (3741 nucleotides) under Podarcis lilfordi (Lilford's wall lizard). Lineage: Eukaryota; Metazoa; Chordata; Lepidosauria; Squamata; Lacertidae. The record is from RNAcentral.